RNAcentral lists this ribosomal RNA (253 nucleotides) under uncultured bacterium. RNAcentral describes it as "partial 16S ribosomal RNA". It matches the Rfam family "Bacterial small subunit ribosomal RNA", at positions 524 to 776 of the family's 1533-position model. The record is from RNAcentral.
GACGUAGGAGGCGAGCGUUAUCCGGAUUCACUGGGCGUAAAGCGCAUGUAGGCGGUUGCACAAGUCCGUUGUUAAAGCCCCUGGCUCAACUGGGGGAGGUCAAUGGAGACUGUGCGACUUGAGGGCAGUAGAGGCACGUGGAACUCCCGGUGUAGCGGUGGAAUGCGUAGAGAUCGGGAAGAACACCAGUGGCGAAGGCGACGUGCUGGGCUGCAACUGACGCUGAAGCGCGAAAGCUAGGGGAGCGAACGGG